This 293-nucleotide ribosomal RNA is filed under the name uncultured bacterium. RNAcentral describes it as "partial 16S ribosomal RNA". It matches the Rfam family "Bacterial small subunit ribosomal RNA", at positions 505 to 796 of the family's 1533-position model. The record is from RNAcentral.
GUGCCAGCAGCCGCGGUAACACGUAGGGGGCAAGCGUUGUCCGGAUUUAUUGGGCGUAAAGAGCUCGUAGGUGGUUCGGUAAGUCAGGUGUGAAACCUCCAGGCUCAACCUGGAGACGCCACUUGAUACUGCUGUGACUGGAGUCCGGUAGGGGAGCGUGGAAUUCCUGGUGUAGCGGUGAAAUGCGCAGAUAUCAGGAGGAACACCAGCGGCGAAGGCGGCGCUCUGGGCCGGUACUGACACUGAGGAGCGAAAGCGUGGGUAGCAAACAGGAUUAGAAACCCGCGUAGUCC